Molecule: ribosomal RNA, 503 nt
Filed under: Baliosus nervosus
Lineage: Eukaryota; Metazoa; Arthropoda; Insecta; Coleoptera; Chrysomelidae
Description: partial 16S ribosomal RNA
Rfam family: Bacterial large subunit ribosomal RNA
Source: RNAcentral
GUCUUCAUGAUAAUAUUUGAAGUCUCGCCUGCCCACUGAAUUUUAAAUGGCCGCAGUAUUUUAACUGUGCUAAGGUAGCAUAAUCAUUAGUUUCUUAAUUAGAAGCUUGUAUGAAGGGUUGGAUGAAGAAUUAACUGUUUCUUAAUUAUUUUUAGAACUUUAUUUUUAAGUUAAAAAGCUUAAAUUUCAUUUAGGGACGAGAAGACCCUAUAGAGUUUUAUAAAAUAUAAAUUAUUAUUUUUUUAGUAUUAAUAUUUUUAAUUAAUAUUUUAUUUGAUUGGGGAGAUUGAAUAACUUAAUAAACUUAUUUUUAACUAAAUCGUAGAUAAACGUAUUUUUGAUCCAAUUAAUUGAUUAUAAGAGUAAAUUACCUUAGGGAUAACAGCAUAAUUUUUCUUAGAGUUCUUAUCGAAAGGAGAGAUUGUGACCUCGAUGUUGGAUUAGAAUUUGUAACUGGUGUAGCUGUUAGUUUACUAAGUCUGUUCGACUUUUAAAAUUCUACA